This 74-nucleotide transfer RNA is filed under the name Candidatus Spechtiibacteriota bacterium. RNAcentral's name for it is "tRNA-Ala". It matches the Rfam family "tRNA". From Rfam's summary of the family: Transfer RNA (tRNA) molecules are approximately 80 nucleotides in length. Their secondary structure includes four short double-helical elements and three loops (D, anti-codon, and T loops). Further hydrogen bonds mediate the characteristic L-shaped molecular structure. tRNAs have two regions of fundamental functional importance: the anti-codon, which is responsible for specific mRNA codon recognition, and the 3' end, to which the tRNAs corresponding amino acid is attached (by aminoacyl-tRNA synthetases). tRNAs cope with the degeneracy of the genetic code in two manners: having more than one tRNA (with a specific anti-codon) for a particular amino acid; and 'wobble' base-pairing, i.e. permitting non-standard base-pairing at the 3rd anti-codon position. The record is from RNAcentral. Lineage: Bacteria; Candidatus Spechtiibacteriota.
GGGCCGUUAGCUCAGUUGGCUAGAGCGCUUCCAUGGCAUGGAAGAGGUCGCAGGUUCAACUCCUGUACGGUCCA